AUGUCCUUUUAAAUUAGUCCCGUGAGGCUAGUAAAGUGGCGCGUUUAAAGUUGAAUGCAACUUUAUCAGUGAAGCUCCUAGUCUAACUAGAUUAGGAGCUUUUUUCAU
Non-coding RNA from Lactobacillus amylolyticus DSM 11664, 108 nucleotides. The record is from Rfam. NCBI's taxonomy places the organism in Bacteria, Bacillati, Bacillota, Bacilli, Lactobacillales, Lactobacillaceae.